GAUAAACGCUGGCGGCGUGCCUAAUACAUGCAAGUCGAGCGAACGGACGAGAAGCUUGCUUCUCUGAUGUUAGCGGCGGACGGGUGAGUAACACGUGGAUAACCUACCUAUAAGACUGGGAUAACUUCGGGAAACCGGAGCUAAUACCGGAUAAUAUUUUGAACCGCAUGGUUCAAAAGUGAAAGACGGUCUUGCUGUCACUUAUAGAUGGAUCCGCGCUGCAUUAGCUAGUUGGUAAGGUAACGGCUUACCAAGGCAACGAUGCAUAGCCGACCUGAGAGGGUGAUCGGCCACACUGGAACUGAGACACGGUCCAGACUCCUACGGGAGGCAGCAGUAGGGAAUCUUCCGCAAUGGGCGAAAGCCUGACGGAGCAACGCCGCGUGAGUGAUGAAGGUCUUCGGAUCGUAAAACUCUGUUAUUAGGGAAGAACAUAUGUGUAAGUAACUGUGCACAUCUUGACGGUACCCUAUCAGAAAGCCACGGCUAACUACGUGCCAGCAGCCGCGGUAAUACGUANGUGGCAAGCGUUAUCCGGAAUUUUAUGGCGUAAAGCGCGCGUAGGCGGUUUUUUAGUCUGAUGUGAAAGCCCACGGCUCAACCGUGGAGGGUCAUUGGAAACUGGAAAACUUGAGUGCAGAAGAGGAAAGUGGAAUUCCAUGUGUAGCGGUGAAAUGCGCAGAGAUAUGGAGGAACACCAGUGGCGAAGGCGACUUUCUGGUCUGUAACUGACGCUGAUGUGCGAAAGCGUGGGGAUCAAACAGGAUUAGAUACCCUGGUAGUCCACGCCGUAAACGAUGAGUGCUAAGUGUUAGGGGGUUUCCGCCCCUUAGUGCUGCAGCUAACGCAUUAAGCACUCCGCCUGGGGAGUACGACCGCAAGGUUGAAACUCAAAGGAAUUGACGGGGACCCGCACAAGCGGUGGAGCAUGUGGUUUAAUUCGAAGCAACGCGAAGAACCUUACCAAAUCUUGACAUCCUUUGACAACUCUAGAGAUAGAGCCUUCCCCUUCGGGGGACAAAGUGACAGGUGGUGCAUGGUUGUCGUCAGCUCGUGUCGUGAGAUGUUGGGUUAAGUCCCGCAACGAGCGCAACCCUUAAGCUUAGUUGCCAUCAUUAAGUUGGGCACUCUAAGUUGACUGCCGGUGACAAACCGGAGGAAGGUGGGGAUGACGUCAAAUCAUCAUGCCCCUUAUGAUUUGGGCUACACACGUGCUACAAUGGACAAUACAAAGGGCAGCGAAACCGCGAGGUCAAGCAAAUCCCAUAAAGUUGUUCUCAGUUCGGAUUGUAGUCUGCAACUCGACUACAUGAAGCUGGAAUCGCUAGUAAUCGUAGAUCAGCAUGCUACGGUGAAUACGUUCCCGGGUCU
This 1371-nucleotide ribosomal RNA is filed under the name uncultured bacterium. Its description in RNAcentral is "bacterial SSU rRNA". It matches the Rfam family "Bacterial small subunit ribosomal RNA", at positions 28 to 1381 of the family's 1533-position model. The record is from RNAcentral.